RNAcentral lists this ribosomal RNA (388 nucleotides) under uncultured bacterium. Its description in RNAcentral is "bacterial SSU rRNA". It matches the Rfam family "Bacterial small subunit ribosomal RNA", at positions 29 to 412 of the family's 1533-position model. The record is from RNAcentral.
AGUGAACGCUGACGGCGUGCCUCAGACAUGCAAGUCGUACGAGAAAAUUCCCGCAAGGGAAUCUGUAAAGUGGCGCACGGGUGAGUAAUACUUAGGUAACGUACCCUCUCGCUGGGGAUAACUAAGGGAAACUUUAGCUAAUACCGAAUGAUCCGGCGGGGACUGCGGUCCCUUUCGGCAAAGCCGUAAGGCGCGGGAGGAGCGGCCUGAGUCCCAUUAACUAGUUGGCAGGGUAACGGCCUACCAAGGUUACGANGGGUAGCUGGUCUGAGAGGACGACCAGCCACACUGGUACUGGAAUACGGACCAGACUCCUACGGGAGGCAGCAGUUAGGAAUAUUGCGCAAUGGGGGAAACCCUGACGCAGCGACGCCGUGUGGGUGAUGAA